Molecule: ribosomal RNA, 460 nt
Filed under: uncultured bacterium
Lineage: Bacteria
Description: partial 16S ribosomal RNA
Rfam family: Bacterial small subunit ribosomal RNA
Source: RNAcentral
CCUACGGGCGGCAGCAGUGAGGAAUAUUGGUCAAUGGACGAGAGCCUGAACCAGCCAAGUAGCGUGAAGGAUGAAUGCCCUAUGGGUUGUAAACUUCUUUUACAUGGGAAUAAAAUGUUCCACGUGUGGGGUUCUGUAUGUACCGUACGAAUAAGGGCCGGCUAACUCCGUGCCAGCAGCCGCGGUAAUACGGAGGAUCCGAGCGUUAUCCGGAUUUAUUGGGUUUAAAGGGAGCGUAGGUGGAUUGUUAAGUCAGUUGUGAAAGUCUGCGGCUCAACCGUAGAACUGCAGUUGAAACUGGCAGUCUUGAGUACACUAGAGGUUGGCGGAAUUCGUGGUGUAGCGGUGAAAUGCUUAGAUAUCACGAAGAACCCCGAUUGCGAAGGCAGCUCACUGGACUGCAACUGACGCUGAGGCUCGAAAGUGUGGGUAUCAAACAGGAUUAGAUACCCGUGUAGUC